AAUAGAUACCCAGGUAGUCCACGCCGUAAACGAUGAGUGCUAAGUGUUAGGGGGUUUCCGCCCCUUAGUGCUGCAGCUAACGCAUUAAGCACUCCGCCUGGGGAGUACGGUCGCAAGACUGAAACUCAAAGGAAUUGACGGGGGGCCCGCACAAGCGGUGGAGCAUGUGGUUUAAUUCGAAGCAACGCGAAGAACCUUACCAGGUCUUGACAUCCCACUGAUCGCUAUGGAGACAUAGUUUUCCCUUCGGGGACAGUGGUGACAGGUGGUGCAUGGUUGUCGUCAGCUCGUGUCGUGAGAUGUUGGGUUAAGUCCCGCAACGAGCGCAACCCUUGAUCUUAGUUGCCAUCAUUUAGUUGGGCACUCUAAGGUGACUGCCGGUGACAAACCGGAGGAAGGUGGGGAUGACGUCAAAUCAUCAUGCCCCUUAUGACCUGGGCUACACACGUGCUACAAUGGACGGUACAAACGGUUGCCAACCCGCGAGGGGGAGCUAAUCCGAUAAAACCGUUCUCAGUUCGGAUUGUAGGCUGCAACUCGCCUA
This 544-nucleotide ribosomal RNA is filed under the name uncultured bacterium. Its description in RNAcentral is "bacterial SSU rRNA". It matches the Rfam family "Bacterial small subunit ribosomal RNA", at positions 777 to 1318 of the family's 1533-position model. The record is from RNAcentral.